AAAGGAAUUGACGGGGGCCCGCACAAGCGGAGGAACAUGUGGUUUAAUUCGAUGAUACGCGAGGAACCUUACCCGGGCUUGAAUUGCUGAGGAAAGAUCCAGAGAUGGUGAUGCCCUUCGGGGCCUCAGUGAAGGUGCUGCAUGGUUGUCGUCAGCUCGUGCCGUAAGGUGUCGGCUUAAGUGCCAUAACGAGCGCAACCCUUGCUGUUAGUUGCCAUCAGGUUAUGCUGGGCACUCUAAUGGGACUGCCAUCGUAAGAUGUGAGGAAGGUGGGGAUGACGUCAAAUCAGCACGGCCCUUAUGUCCGGGGCGACACACGUGUUACAAUGGUAGGUACAGAGGGAAGCCACCUGGCGACAGGGCGCAGAUCCCGAAAUCCUAUCUCAGUUCGGAUCGGAGUCUGGAACUCGACUCCGUGAAGCUGGAUUCGCUAGUAAUCGCGCAUCAGCCAUGGCGCGGUGAAUACGUUCCCGGGCCUUGUACACACCGCCCGU
RNAcentral lists this ribosomal RNA (494 nucleotides) under uncultured bacterium. RNAcentral describes it as "bacterial SSU rRNA". It matches the Rfam family "Bacterial small subunit ribosomal RNA", at positions 903 to 1397 of the family's 1533-position model. The record is from RNAcentral.